GACGAACGCUGGCGGCGUGCUUAACACAUGCAAGUCGAGCGGUAAGGCCCUUUCGGGGUACACGAGCGGCGAACGGGUGAGUAACACGUGGGUGACCUGCCCUUAGCUCUGGGAUAAGCCUGGGAAACUGGGUCUAAUACCGGAUAUGACUCCAUAACGCAUGUUGUGGGGUGGAAAGCCUUGUGCGGCUAGGGAUGGGCCCGCGGCCUAUCAGCUUGUUGGUGGGGUGAUGGCCACCAAGGCGACGACGGGUAGCCGGCCUGAGAGGGC
This 270-nucleotide ribosomal RNA is filed under the name uncultured bacterium. RNAcentral describes it as "partial 16S ribosomal RNA". It matches the Rfam family "Bacterial small subunit ribosomal RNA", at positions 28 to 301 of the family's 1533-position model. The record is from RNAcentral.